UGUGUGUCUUCAGGGAACUCCUAGUCUU
RNAcentral lists this non-coding RNA (28 nucleotides) under Mus musculus (house mouse). The record is from RNAcentral. Lineage: Eukaryota; Metazoa; Chordata; Mammalia; Rodentia; Muridae.